AGGCAAGAUGGUUGAUGAGUGCGAGGGAGAUACUUGUGAACUGCAUAGCCCGCCAUACUCUUUUGCAUAUGUCAUCCUUCGUCGGUCCAGCUGCCACCUCCUCCAUGCCAUCGGCACAAGUGUCCUCGUUUGUGAUCACGGCGCUCAGCCAUGUCUGUGCGUUCGAAAUAUGCCACCUGACGUUUUCCCCUUCUUCUGAGAUCAGUAGUCCUAUCUCCACUGCAGACUGUCGAGUCAAGUCCACUGCAUCAUCUAGCAACUCGGUGCAGUCGUGCAAAGCAGCUGCCUCCCCACGGUUAGAGCAUUCCUUCCUGAGCUCCUUCGUGUGUGCUAGCAUUGAUUGGAGUUGGGUGAGGGUGAGAUUCGUUGCGGCUAAGGCGAGUCGAACAGGGUCUAA
RNAcentral lists this unclassified non-coding RNA (397 nucleotides) under Hevea brasiliensis (rubber tree). The record is from RNAcentral. Lineage: Eukaryota; Viridiplantae; Streptophyta; Magnoliopsida; Malpighiales; Euphorbiaceae.